AAAGUAGAUGAGGAGGAUAUUGUGUCUCAUAUCCUUGCUGGACUCGAUGAGGAGUUCGAUCCCGUGGUCUCUCGGGUCGAGCCGGUGACCGUCCCUGAGCUGUACUCGCAGCUCCUGAGCUUCGAGA
Triticum aestivum (bread wheat) is the source of this 127-nucleotide non-coding RNA. The record is from Rfam. NCBI's taxonomy places the organism in Eukaryota, Viridiplantae, Streptophyta, Magnoliopsida, Poales, Poaceae.